RNAcentral lists this ribosomal RNA (424 nucleotides) under uncultured prokaryote. RNAcentral's name for it is "bacterial SSU rRNA". It matches the Rfam family "Bacterial small subunit ribosomal RNA", at positions 355 to 796 of the family's 1533-position model. The record is from RNAcentral.
UGGGGAAUAUUGGACAAUGGGCGCAAGCCUGAUCCAGCCAUGCCGCGUGAGUGACGAAGGCCCUAGGGUUGUAAAGCUCUUUCAGUGGUGACGAUGAUGACGGUAGCCACAGAAGAAGCCCCGGCUAACUCCGUGCCAGCAGCCGCGGUAAUACGGAGGGGGUUGGCGUUGUUCGGAAUUACUGGGCGUAAAGCGCGCGUAGGCGGACUAUUAAGUGAGAGGUGAAAUCCCAGGGCUCAACCCUGGAACUGCCUUUCAUACUGGUAGUCUUGAGUUCGAGAGAGGUGAGUGGAAUUCCGAGUGUAGAGGUGAAAUUCGUAGAUAUUCGGAGGAACACCAGUGGCGAAGGCGGCUCACUGGCUCGAUACUGACGCUGAGGUGCGAAAGUGUGGGGAGCAAACAGGAUUAGAUACCCGUGUAGUCC